UUGUAAUAUUAUUCCCUUAUCAAAAAUAUACCUGGAGUGUUGCUUUGAUUCUUUCAUGGAUGUUUGAGAAAUCUUUUAAGCUCCCGUGGCAACCAGUAAGCUGCAAUUUUCAAGUUCA
Long non-coding RNA from Poecilia latipinna (sailfin molly), 118 nucleotides. RefSeq lists it as uncharacterized. The record is from RefSeq and is a predicted model, not a curated record. The transcript is spliced from 3 exons. Lineage: Eukaryota; Metazoa; Chordata; Actinopteri; Cyprinodontiformes; Poeciliidae.